This is a long non-coding RNA of Cucurbita maxima (winter squash), 495 nucleotides long. RefSeq lists it as uncharacterized. The transcript is spliced from 2 exons. Lineage: Eukaryota; Viridiplantae; Streptophyta; Magnoliopsida; Cucurbitales; Cucurbitaceae. The record is from RefSeq and is a predicted model, not a curated record.
AAACAAAACAAGCGUUGAAAACCUUGCAAAUCAUGAAAAUUUGGGACCCAAUUUGCUUCAUCUCGAUCACUCCCUUUGUGCAUUUGAGCAUUAAUUUAUUGUCAAAUUGGCCAUUCCGUCAUUUCCAUAAUCUGCUGAUGGUCAGGAAAAUAAUCAUUGUCCGGAUGUUGCUUGCAAAUAUAAACUUCUUCAAGUUAUUGGAGGAUGGAUAACCAGGUAAGUCAAUCAAUUUUUAUCAUGUUGUUCUUUUCUUUGUCUUUUAUCAUUUGGUAGUAGUCCUUGUAUGUCCAUGUCAUAUCAGUCUUUGCAACUUGGGACAUUAUCGGCAUCUCCACUAUACCUGUAUAUUAGGUUUUGUGUGAUUCAUUGUUACUUUAUGAGUGUGUCACAUUUACCCUAAAAAGACGGAACCAACCAUUUUGCAAAGGGACAAAACGAAAACUCUUUUCAUGCAUUGAUAACUAUUUGGUUUAUUCAAUGCAAGUUAGUAGUUCA